Long non-coding RNA from Vicia villosa (hairy vetch), 3816 nucleotides. RefSeq lists it as uncharacterized. Lineage: Eukaryota; Viridiplantae; Streptophyta; Magnoliopsida; Fabales; Fabaceae. The record is from RefSeq and is a predicted model, not a curated record. The transcript has 3 exons.
UUCUAUUUUUUAUAUUUGAGUUUUGGAUCUGAUUGAUUUAAACUGUUCUUAUUUGUAAGUUUUUCAAUAACUUUGUUUUAGUAACUUUUGUAAUAAUUUAUUGAUGCUUGUAUUGAUCCUUGAACUGAUUAUGUUCUGCAUCAACUAGCAUAGCUUGAAGAGCUGGUAGUAUUAUUUUUAACUCUUCCAGAAGUUAGUAUUGUAACAAAUUUUGUUAAAACUAUUUUAAUUAUCUAAUUUUGUCUUUAUACUUUAUCACUAUACACCAGUACUGAUCUAUUAUUUAAAACUAAUUAUGCAGUAUUAAUAGACUACAUAUCAAAGAGGUUAAGCGAUUUCGUGCUCGACGUCUACAUCAACAAGUUGAGGUGAUUACGUGUUUUCGAUGCCAAAUCUGUUCUUUCUCUACUGGAAAAAUCAUAUUAUGGAAUUGUUGGUUUUCAAAAGCAACUCAGGAUCUGUUUGGAUAAGUACUUAUGUAAUAUCAAAGAGGUUAAGCGAUUUCGUGCUCGACGUCUACAUCAACAAGUUGAAGUGAUUACGUGUUUUCGAUGCCAAAUCUGUUCUUUCUCUACUGGAAAAAUCAUAUUAUGGAAUUGUUGGUUUUCAAAAGCAACUCAGGAUCUGUUUGGAUAAGUACUUAUGUGUUUCAGGAAUAUUGUUAUGGAUUGAUAAUCCUUUUUUCUUUUGAAUCGGUAGUUUUGCUUUUGUUAUAAAAGGGUUUGUCUAUGGUUAAUAAUAUUUUGUGGUUGAUUGCAUGAUUUUGUGGUUUGUUUUUCAGGAUUUAGACUGGAUCGAGUUUUACUGCUGAGUUUUGAAUCUAACAAGGUAUGGCCUUAAAAUUAAACCGGCUAAUUGAUUUUAGAAGCACUAACCAGAGAACUUUUUAUCAUUUUCAUAAUAUUUGUUGUAAUUGUUAUGAUUCUUAUUAGGCGAGUAAGAUAACGAAGAAACUGCAGGAUGUGAACUAAUUAUUACAGAUCUAAAACUAUUAUUAUAGAUCUGAAAACUCACUCAGUUGCUUGGUAUCAAUUCUCUUUAUUGGGGUACUUUUUCAAUUCAUGUGUUACUUGAACCAUUCUAAUUUUUUGGUUUGUUUUUGUUGUAUAUAUUAAUGAUGGCAGGUGCAAAAACAACAAUAAAUGUAAGUUUAGAGACUGUUGUGAAGAAGUUUAGACACUAUGUCGGUGUUGGUUCGCGGCGGGCGACGAUUACUAUUCCGAAACAGAUUCGGUUUUAACUUUAUCUUUUUUCUUCUGAUGUUGUUUAUAUGUGCAAAUUUCAAAUUUGGAGUGACACGUCCUUUUGAUUGAUACACUAAUGGGGAUAAUAUUCGUGGAGAAAGCAAUUUGUAUUAAUAGACUACAUAUCAAAGAGGUUAAGCGAUUUCGUGCUCGACGUCUACAUCAACAAGUUGAGGUGAUUACGUGUUUUCGAUGCCAAAUCUGUUCUUUCUCUACUGGAAAAAUCAUAUUAUGGAAUUGUUGGUUUUCAAAAGCAACUCAGGAUCUGUUUGGAUAAGUACUUAUGUAAUAUCAAAGAGGUUAAGCGAUUUCGUGCUCGACGUCUACAUCAACAAGUUGAAGUGAUUACGUGUUUUCGAUGCCAAAUCUGUUCUUUCUCUACUGGAAAAAUCAUAUUAUGGAAUUGUUGGUUUUCAAAAGCAACUCAGGAUCUGUUUGGAUAAGUACUUAUGUGUUUCAGGAAUAUUGUUAUGGUUUGAUAAUCCUUUUUUCUUUUGAAUCGGUAGUUUUGCUUUUGUUAUAAAUGGGUUUGUCUAUGGUUAAUAAUAUUUUGUGGUUGAUUGCAUGAUUUUGUGGUUUGUUUUUCAGGAUUUAGACUGGAUCGAGUUUUACUGCUGAGUUUUGAAUCUAACAAGGUAUGGCCUUAAAAUUAAACCGGCUAAUUGAUUUUAGAAGCACUAACCAGAGAACUUUUUAUCAUUUUCAUAAUAUUUGUUGUAAUUGUUAUGAUUCUUAUUAGGUGAGUAAGAUAACGAAGAAACUGCAGGAUGUGAACUAAUUAUUACAGAUCUAAAACUAUUAUUAUAGAUCUGAAAACUCACUCAGUUGCUUGGUAUCAAUUCUCUUUAUUUGGGUACUUUUUCAAUUCAUGUGUUACUUGAACCAUUCUAAUUUUUUGGUUUGUUUUUGUUGUAUAUAUUAAUGAUGGCAGGUGCAAAAACAACAAUAAAUGUAAGUUUAGAGACUGUUGUGAAGAAGUUCAGACACUAUGUCGAUGUUGGUUCGCGGCGGGCGACGAUUACUAUUCCGAAACAGAUUCGAUUUUAACUUUAUCUUUUUUCUUCUGAUGUUGUUUAUAUGUGCAAAUUUCAAAUUUGGAGUGACACGUCCUUUUGAUUGAUACACUGACGGGGAUAAUAUUCGUGGAGAAAGCAAUUUGUAUUAAUAGACUACAUAUCAAAGAGGUUAAGCGAUUUCGUGCUCGACGUUGUCGCACGCUCGCGAAAAAUGAACAGAGUCGCCACCAAUAUAUUUAUCCCAUAAGGGAAAGGAAUAUCAGAAAACCUAACAAGGGAAGGAACAGGGUCUUGCGACCAGAGAAUCAAGGUACGGGAGUCGGUUACGCGAGGGGAAGGUAUUAGCACCCCUCACGCCCAUCGUACUCGAUGGUAUCCACCUAUGUUUGUUUCUAUCUAAUGGGUGUGUACUAUGUCUAUGUCUAAAUGCGAAAUGAAUGCAAAAUGUAGGGAAAAUAAAGAAUUGUACUCGCACGGGCCCUACCCCGCUGCCUACGUAUCCUUUUCAGGAAUCAGAGUUACCGUAGCUCGGCUCACGAUUUUCUGUUUGUUUUUGUGUUUUUUAGUUGGGCGGAGUUAACGCUCGCGCUCUUGCACAAGGGGACAGCCUAGGAUGCAAUGGAGCGGAGAUAACUUGCCCUUAGAAAGGAGAAAAAGAGAUUGGUUUGUAUCUUUUAAGGGUAAUUCCAUGAUGACGAGAACCCACUACAAGGUCUCGCAUCACUUCCUCACUUUUGUUUUAAGUCUGAACAUUUAUUAGGUUUUUUGAAGUGUUUUUGGUUGGUGUUUUUUAUGGGGAUUUUAAUUUGUGACUUAGAUCAUACCAAAAAGGGUUUUUUGUUUGUUUUUGAAUAUUUAGAGAACGCACAUCGAGGCCUACGCCACAAUCGUUUCUCUAAAUAGCGGUUAAGAAAUACAUCGAGGCUUCACCUCAAUCAUUUCUUCUCCGCUAAGUAGGAAUACAAAAAGAAGUUCUUUUGUGAAUAUUUAGAGAAUGCACAUCGAGGCCUACGCCACAAUCGUUUCUCUAAAUAACGGUUAAGAAAUACACCGAGGCUUCACACCUCAAUCAUUUCUUCUCCGUUAAGUAGGAAAGAACAUACAUCGAGGCCUACGCCUCAAUCAUUUCUUUCCUACCAUGAAAUAAAGCAACGGUAUGAUCUUCAUCGAUUUUUAUUAAGUAUUUUAAAAAUCGAAAAGAAAAAGAAUGCAAUAGGGAACUAAUCCUAAACUCUAAUCUACGUCAUUCUAAUCUACAAGUCUAAUGUUAACAAGGUGACUAAAUUCUAAAAGGAGCAUUAAAAUGGUGUUAACAAAGUAGGCCAAAAAUGUGGCCAAAACAAGUAACAACAUUACACAACAAUUAUACAAAAAUAGCAUGAAAAUGAUACAAAAGCAUAAAGAGAAGCAAUUCAAGUAUUAGUACAAAGUUAACCUAAAAAUACUACUAUUUUUUAUGAGUUUUAUGAAGGAAUUUAAUGUCAAAAUUAACCUAAAAAAAACCUACUAUUUUUAUGGGCUUUUAUGAAGAAAUCAAUUAAAAGUCAAAAUUAAAC